This 484-nucleotide ribosomal RNA is filed under the name uncultured bacterium. RNAcentral's name for it is "partial 16S ribosomal RNA". It matches the Rfam family "Bacterial small subunit ribosomal RNA", at positions 29 to 507 of the family's 1533-position model. The record is from RNAcentral.
AUUGAACGCUGGCGGCAUGCUUUACACAUGCAAGUCGAACGGCAGCGCGGGCUUCGGCCUGGCGGCGAGUGGCGAACGGGUGAGUAAUGCAUCGGAACGUGCCCAGUAGUGGGGGAUAGCCCGGCGAAAGCCGGAUGAAUACCGCAUACGACCUGAGGGUGAAAGCGGGGGACCGAAAGGCCUCGCGCUAUUGGAGCGGCCGAUGUUGGAUUAGCUAGUUGGUGGGGUAAAGGCUUACCAAGGCGACGAUCCGUAGCUGGUCUGAGAGGACGACCAGCCACACUGGAACUGAGACACGGCCCAGACUCCUACGGGAGGCAGCAGUGGGGAAUUUUGGACAAUGGGGGCAACCCUGAUCCAGCCAUGCCGCGUGCGGGAAGAAGGCCUUCGGGUUGUAAACCGCUUUUGUUCGGGAAGAAAUCCUCUGGGCUAAUACCCCGGGGGGAUGACGGUACCGGAAGAAUAAGCACCGGCUAACUACGUG